This 253-nucleotide ribosomal RNA is filed under the name uncultured bacterium. Its description in RNAcentral is "partial 16S ribosomal RNA". It matches the Rfam family "Bacterial small subunit ribosomal RNA", at positions 524 to 776 of the family's 1533-position model. The record is from RNAcentral.
UACGAAGGGGGCUAGCGUUGCUCGGAAUCACUGGGCGUAAAGGGCGCGUAGGCGGGCCGCCAAGUUCGAGGUGAAAUCCUCCGGCUCAACCGGAGAACUGCCUCGAAUACUGGAGGCCUCGAGGCGGGUAGGGGCACGCGGAACUGUGGGUGGAGCGGUGAAAUGCGUUGAUAUCCACAGGAACUCCGGUGGCGAAGGCGGCGUGCUGGACCCGAUCUGACGCUGAGGCGCGAAAGCCAGGGGAGCGAACGGG